GAAUCGGUGGCUCAAUGUCCAACCCUCAUUGUACAGCAUGAGACUCUUAAAUCUCAGGGUCAUGGGUUCGAGCCCCAUGCUGGGCA
Molecule: non-coding RNA, 86 nt
Organism: Podarcis lilfordi (Lilford's wall lizard)
Lineage: Eukaryota; Metazoa; Chordata; Lepidosauria; Squamata; Lacertidae
Source: the annotation of a GenBank genome assembly